CGCACAUUGCGCCCUUUGGCAUUCCGAAGGGCAUGCCUGUUCGAGCGUCAUUAUCAACCCUCAAGCUUGGCUUGUUGUUGGACCGAAGGGAAGUUGACUCUUCCCUGGUCUUGAAGACAAUGACGGCGUCUAGAGGACCCUCAAUACAAUGAGCUUUUUAAGCACGUGUUGUAGUGGAUCUUUAGGCCCGGUCUCCUUUUAUUUUUUCAGGUUGACCUCGGAUCAGGUAGGGAUACCCGCUGAACUUAA
This 249-nucleotide unclassified non-coding RNA is filed under the name Ceratosporella sp. RNAcentral describes it as "partial contains 5.8S ribosomal RNA, internal transcribed spacer 2, and large subunit ribosomal RNA". Lineage: Eukaryota; Fungi; Ascomycota. The record is from RNAcentral.